GCUUUCCAAGCUUCACUCUUACUCAAGAAACAGUUGUAGAAUCAAAAAACCCCACCUUCUAUAAAACAAAAGAGUCCAUGUUUCACGCCUCUCCACACAGCAGCACUUAGCAGGUGCCUGGCACAUAACAGCACUCGUAACUGUCAGUGUAUCACCACUGCUGAUGAAUGUGGUGGGAGAAGGAAGUAAAAGCAAGAUUUAUCAGCUGUUAACUAACUUUGAGGGUUUUAAUAUGAUUUGUUUAUCAAAAACUUGGAUUUUAUCAAGUGAAUUAUUACAUGCUGAAGGCUUUAGAACCUUCCUGUUAAUGGAUAAGUAGGAAAGUCGUUCUAGCAGAAGUUAUGGCCCCAAACAAUGCUGAUCUCCAUUCAUAUCACAAAGAUGUCUCCUAACUACCUGGCACAAGCCCUAACAACGUCCUUUUUUUGGUGUGAUUCUAAAACAAGACCAGUUGAGUAUGCCUGACAAUCCAUUUUCUCUUCCUCCUAUGGAAAAUUCUUACACUGAUUGUUAGCUGUCUGAUACCAGUUGAGUAUGCCUGACAAUCCAUUUUCCUCUUCCUCUUAUGGAAUAUUCUUACACUGAUUCUUAGCUGUGAUAAAUCCUUUGAAAUUUAUGCAUUAACCUGAAUAAUAAGUUCAGAUGAUUUUUAUGGGAGAAUCAAUAGUGGCUAUGACAAAGCUUCCCUCAUGGAAUAAAGGCUUUAGUGUAGUCUAAUUUUUUCCAAGAUGACCUCUUAAUCAAAGAGGAAUAACUUGACCAAAUGAAUAUUUAAGUAUACUCUCAUCUACAUGCACCAGAAAGCCAAGUCUUUAGGAUUUAUGUAAACAUCUUGAUCAGAAGCCACCACAAAUUAUUUAAUAGAUAUUUCUUUUAUUUCCAUAUGCCCAUAUGACCCUAGAUAUAUACCAUAAAUCAGUAUAACAUAAUCAACACUUCCUCAAACUUAUCCUAAACACCACCAUAAAACACUAUUCUUAAACUUAAAACUAUAACUACUCUUAAAAAAUAUAUUUUUUUACUGAAGUAUACUUGAUCUAUAGUAUUGUGUUAGUUUCAGGUAUAUAGCACAGUGAUUCAGUUUAUUACAAAGUAUUGAGCAUUGUUCCCUGUGCUGUACAGUAGGUCCUUGUUGGUUAUCUGUUUUAUACAUAGCAGUGUGUACAGGUUAAUCCCAACCUCCUAAUUUAUCUUUCCUCCUGCCCUUUUCCCUUUUGGUAAUUAUAACUUUGUUCUCCAUGAUGUGAGUCUCUUUCUGUAUAACUGUUCUUAAACCAUAAACUUAUCCUAAAUACCACAUAAAGACCACUUUUGCAUAUGUGACUAUCAUGUGAACAAUAAAACAUUACAGAUGGAAUGAAGUGGAACCUCUUCAUCAUCACUGGUUAUAUUCUCAAGUUCAUACAAUUAAGCUCUUUGGAAUGGCUUCACUACUAGCCUUCUACUAAUCUAUUUAAGUCAUUGUAAAGCCAAAAUAAGAUCUGAAAAGGUGGUACACAUAAGAGCAGUUAGGAGCACAGAUUACAAGAGAUUAAAUAACAGCAAGUUAUUUAAUCUCUGCUGUAUCAGUUUCCUUAUCUGAAAAAUUGAUAAUAAAUGUACCUACCUCACUGAAUUGCUCUAAGGAUUAAAUACACUUAAAAUUACAUAUUUUAAGUGCAGCUUCAGUGUUAGAAAGUAUUAGCGUUACCUCAUCUGUCUUUGCUAACUAUCUGCUCAACUCAGGUCUUGGUUCAGGAAUGGCAAUAAACAGAAAAUAUAAACUAAAAGCUAAAAUAUAACAACAUCUAACACCAUAUUCACAAGCACGAAAAACAAUUGGACAAGAGUCAAAAGACCUUAUUUUCCACAAAGACACAUUAUCCAACCCUCCUUAAGUUUUUUAUUUAAACCAAUAAAUGGGAGCUCUGCUGUGGUGCAAUGGGAUCAGCAGUGUCUUGGGAGCGCUGAGACGUGGGUUCAAUCCUCAGCCCCGGAAGUGGUUUAAGGAUCUGGUGUUGCCACAGAUGCGGCAUAGUUUGUGGCUAUGGCUUAGAUCUGAUCCCUAGUCUGGGAACUCCAUGUGCAGUGGGAGGCCAAUAAAUUAAUAAAUAAAUAAACCAAAAAACAACAAGGAAACACCAUUUGACCUUCAGGUUCACCCAACAGCCACAAAGGAGUUCCUCUUGAGUCAACAGCCACAAAGGAAUACCUCUUGGUGUCUAAGGGAAACAUAGAAAAUAGAUCCCCAUAAACCUACUGAUAGAAAGUUUUUCUUGUCUUUCAAACCCAAACACAACUUAUUCAAGUUUUUCAGUCAUCAUAUGCAAUCCCAUUACGUAGAGCUAUAAUGAUAAUACACUACAACUCUGAUAAGGCCUAAUCAUUGAGAAGUCACCUUUGGCCACCAUGAUGCUUACAUUCAUUCUGAUAGGUCAGUCCCAAUCCAUACUCAAUUAUUUCCUGUAAUUACCUCCUUCAAAGCGGGUCAUAAUUCUUUUAGACAUGCUCAUUUUUCAAAAUAAUAUAUUUGUUUUUAUAUAAAAUUUUAACAUUCAAUACAAUAUUUUGUCCUUAAUAAACUCUCAGUCUAGAUCCUUCACUCUUCUAGCAUUCCCAUUGGCCAGCAGGAGUUAAGCAUCACUACAGCACUAGUGAUGACAUAUUCCAAGAACAAUGUAAAACUUCUCACAUCAUAUGUAUCAAUCAACUCUUAUUGAUUCCACAUACAGAAGAAUGUGAAGGUCCAAACUGCAUAAGGCUUGAGUCUAGGUAAUUAAUGCUCCUGAAAAGCUUAUCCAAAUAGCAUCACCAAAAGCAGAGUGAAAAGAGCUUCCUAACUUAUUUUCCAUCCUAAAUAGCACAAAAUAUGGCCGACAGUCUACCUGUUCCUUCUUUGCAAACCACAAUUAAAUAAUCUCUUCAAUCUUUAGAUGAAGACGAUGCAUCUCAGAGAAGACAAGUGGCCUCACACAACAGAAAAAGCCUCAAAGAGGCACUGAGUUUAUUGUUAAUGACUCAGAAAAAGCAGUUUAAGGUCAUCUGGGCCCAAACCAAAACCUUUGGUUUUUAAUAGUUCAAGAUAUAGGCUCUCCCUGAUGGAUAAGAAAGAUGCCAAGAGUAUUGAAAUGAAUUCCCACUGAACACUUAGUGAGGAUCCAUUUGUGAAGGGUCUGCCUAUGCCACCCUUUGCUAAGCAAUGAGGAUACAAAAGUAAAUAAAACAUUACAAGAAGUUUAAAAUCUCAUGGAGGAGAGAGAUGUGCAUAGCUAUAGGGCAGGGUGUAAGUAAGUAUUUCAAAAGCAUCUACUAGUCACAUUUGGUGGCAGACACAUGUGUUGCCUUUUCAUGUAAGAAUUAUAAUUAGGAUGAACACUUCUGGAAAAGAUAUAGAUUAGGCUUAAAAGAAAGGCAACACCCAAAGAAAUCUGUAUAAGCAUCCAGCUCAGUCACAACAACAAAAUAAUUAUUAUUAUAAGAAAAGGACCAUAACUAGGCUUCAGUUUUUUCAGAGGCAAAAACAUCCCUAACUGCUGGAAGACAAAGAAGCCAGGGUGCUUCUUGUUUGUAGCCACCACACCAGGGCAUUUUUCUUCUUUGGUUUCAGAGAGCCUUUGGUCCAAAACAUAGAGGGCUGAAGAAGCCUCAGACUUUGAAAUACAGUCAAAGUCACAGCUAGUCAAGAAGAGGAGACUUAUAUGUAACAGUCUUUGUUUCAUUUACCCAUUCAUUCAUUCAUUCAUUCAUUCAAAAAAUACUUAAUUGACCAUAAGCAAGGUAUCAGGUCUUGUCCUAAAAUUUGGGAAUACAAACAAGAAUGGAACAACCAGAUUACAUUUUAGUGGGAGAAACACAAUCAACAAAGGCUGAGCCAGAGCUAAUAAGGUGUGGCACCUCAGAUGCAGAGGAAAUGGAGAGUCAGACAACAAAUUCUCUUUCCUGAGAGGUGUAAAUCUUAGGAAGCCUUCCCUAACUUCAGCCUGGGCUAUUCCUUCCAGCUCUGGCUGCUGCUUACUCUGUUGCUAGUUUGGGAAUUACUCCUUACAGAUUGUGGCUAUUCAUCUUUUUCUAGGUAUAAAAUCAGCUGGUCUUCUUCUUGAGGUCAGGCAUGGUAAUUACAUGUAUUUGAAUAUGCUGUCCAUCAAAAGAACAAGUAACAGUCAAAGAGUUGCCGACUGAAGAACUGACAAAUUACAAGUAUGCCGAAGCAAGCAAAAAGUGGUAUUCUGAUUAGUUUUCUUAAAAGGAAUCUGACUCUUCUGAAUUUCCCCCUACAACCCAUCCUCACUGGCCAAACUGGAAUAGAGACGUCUCCACCAAAUAUAUCUACCGACUUCUAUGUUCUAAUGAACUUCUUUCUUUAAACUUCAGUUCAUUCAGCUGUUACAAAGUGGUAUAACUACAUUAUAGGAAAAAGCUCCCACCAA
This 4406-nucleotide long non-coding RNA is filed under the name Sus scrofa (pig). Its description in RNAcentral is "lncRNA (ENSSSCG00055006712.1)". The record is from RNAcentral. Lineage: Eukaryota; Metazoa; Chordata; Mammalia; Artiodactyla; Suidae.